Molecule: unclassified non-coding RNA, 353 nt
Filed under: soil metagenome
Description: partial contains 5.8S ribosomal RNA, internal transcribed spacer 2, and large subunit ribosomal RNA
Rfam family: 5.8S ribosomal RNA (bases 1-120)
Source: RNAcentral
GAUGAAGAACGUAGCGAAAUGCGAUAAGUAAUGUGAAUUGCAGAAUUCAGUGAAUCAUCGAAUCUUUGAACGCACAUUGCGCCCGCCAGAAUUCUGGCGGGCAUGCCUGUUCGGGCGUCAUUACAACCCUCAGGCCCCCGGGCCUGGCGUUGGGGAUCGGCGGAAGCCCCCUGCGGGCACAACGCCGUCCCCCAAAUACAGUGGCGGUCCCGCCGCAGCUUCCAUUGCGUAGUAGCUAACACCUCGCAACUGGAGAGCGGCGCGGCCACGCCGUAAAACACCCAACUUCUGAAUGUUGACCUCGAAUCAGGUAGGAAUACCCGCUGAACUUAAGCAUAUCAAUAAGCGGAGGA